This is a non-coding RNA of Oryzias latipes (Japanese medaka), 583 nucleotides long. The record is from RefSeq and is a predicted model, not a curated record. Lineage: Eukaryota; Metazoa; Chordata; Actinopteri; Beloniformes; Adrianichthyidae.
AUUGAAGACAGCUUCAAUGAACCCGAAGAGUUUGAAGACUUCACUGUGGCCACUUUGGAGCCAGUGAGGACCUUCACAGUCUCUUCAACGUCAUCCUUGGCACCCACCAGCAGUCUGUCAGCUCCAGACCCUCAGCCUGGCCCCUCUUGGUCUCCUCCUCCUCCUGAGGGUCCUUCAACGAGUGCGACACACUCAGCGCCUGGACCUACAUCACCAUCUCCCUCUUCAUCACCUUCCGCCACCACCUCUGUUCCCCCUUGUGUCUUAUCCCCCGCUGAACAGAGCACCUCCAAAACAGAUCUGCCAGCAACCCCUCAACAGUUGGACUCUUCAUGUGACGAUUCUGUCGGCCCUGACAACGUGGAGGGUUAUGGGGCCGUGCAGGAGCUGGCUGAUUUCUUGGUCGGCCUCCGGCACAAUAACCUUGUGGUGACUGCAGAGGAGUCAAACCGGAUCGUUUCCCUGUGGCAGUCAUUGGGGGAUUAUGACAAACAAAAAACGGUUUACUCCCAGCGUCACCAAGCCCACCUGAAGCAGGGUAGAUUUAGAGCAACCAAAAAAAUUGUAGCCCCCGGCGUCAAAG